Molecule: ribosomal RNA, 424 nt
Filed under: uncultured prokaryote
Description: bacterial SSU rRNA
Rfam family: Bacterial small subunit ribosomal RNA
Source: RNAcentral
UGGGGAAUCUUGGACAAUGGGCGCAAGCCUGAUCCAGCCAUGCCGCGUGAGUGACGAAGGCCUUAGGGUUGUAAAGCUCUUUUGGUGGGGAAGAUAAUGACGGUACCCACAGAAUAAGCUCCGGCUAACUUCGUGCCAGCAGCCGCGGUAAUACGAAGGGAGCUAGCGUUGUUCGGAAUUACUGGGCGUAAAGCGCACGUAGGCGGACUGGUCAGUUGGGGGUGAAAUCCCAGGGCUCAACCCUGGAACUGCCUCCAAUACUGCCAGUCUCGAGUCCGGAAGAGGUGAGUGGAAUUCCUAGUGUAGAGGUGAAAUUCGUAGAUAUUAGGAAGAACACCAGUGGCGAAGGCGGCUCACUGGUCCGGUACUGACGCUGAGGUGCGAAAGCGUGGGGAGCAAACAGGAUUAGAUACCCCCGUAGUCC